This is a non-coding RNA of Nothobranchius furzeri (turquoise killifish), 4647 nucleotides long. NCBI's taxonomy places the organism in Eukaryota, Metazoa, Chordata, Actinopteri, Cyprinodontiformes, Nothobranchiidae. The record is from RefSeq and is a predicted model, not a curated record.
AUGCCAGAGUUAAUUUUUAUGUAUUUUUAUUUAUUUGAUUAUAUUGAAAAACUCAUAUUAUUUAAAUGUAUGCAUUAGAAUUAAUUAUAGUUUACAGAAUGUAAUACAUUUUAAUAUUAUUAAAUGUAAUUAGUUUUUUCUUAGUAAAAUGGUUUAAAUAAAAAAGGCUGUAAAACAAACAAGAUUCUGUUAUUUAAAAUUUAUGUGAUUUGUUUAAAUACAAGUUAUGAAAAGUGAAUUUGGGAAACCGGAAACAAUGUCUUGCACUUCCUCUGCACACCCGCCCGCUCUCAGGAGUAGCAUCGUAGCGUUCUCCAUGUGAUGGUAAGUGUAACAUUCUCUCCAAGGGGUGUCUUGUAUGUACAUAAAGAUUUUUUUUUUUUGCCAUAGGGUGUCGAGUGCUUGCGUUUGUGAUAACAUUUUGUAGUUUGUGUUUAUUUUAUGCAGUUAUAUCCUGGCUACGUAGCUUUACAGGACAAUGCUGUUUCCCGCUAGCAUUAUAGCUAAUAAGCUAGCUAUUUCACAGCAUCUUCGCUAGCUUGGCUAUCCAGCUUAAUACUGGAUUAAACGAACCCUUGGCAGUUGUAACCGUCAUGUUAUCAUGGCGGGUAAAAGGACAAAUAUUAAAAUCAUUAGUUAAGCAAACAUUAUUUUUGUCCACAACAUUUAACCUAAUAAAUUUGUAACAAGUUAGCCUCUGCUCUGUAGCAUUAACUUACAGUUUGUUUAAAGUUAAAUUUGACAACUUUGAGGGGUUGUUUUGGAAGGAGCAGACUUGUUACCUUUUGGCAAAAUUUUUGCAGUUUUAAUGCAAAAUAUGGCACUUCUGUGAUUCAUACUAAGCAAUUAAACUUAUUUUUUCUUUUCACAUAUGUUCUUGUUUUCAGAUAGCUAACUCUUUUUCUGCAUUCUCCUCCAAUCUCGUGUUCUCACCUUCAUGUGGCAACAUAUAUUUUUCAUUAGGCCUACAAAGUCAGAUCUUUGACAAUCAGGAGGCAGGAGGUUCUCCAGGAGCCACCAAUUCCAGAGUUCCAAAGCAGAUGGGCAGCACUGUUUGAUGUCAGCGAGGUAAGUGUGAAUCUGAAGUGUAAUAACUUGGUCUAUUUUACAAACUGUUAAAAUCUCUAUCCUGUCUGUGUUGUCUUCUACAGAUUAACUUGGAGUUUAUGCGACUGACAACUAUACCUCUGACCUUCAAAUUCCUUGGGGAACUGGACCGUCAGACCGACAACCUGAUGAAGGUUUUUAAUUCCAAAGGUGGAGCAGCAGGAAGAAAGAUGGCAGCCAUAAUGGCCCAGAUGGAUAAUAAUGAAGACAUCAACGUGAGGCAAGAUUGUGUGCUGAGCUGUCUCAGCAUCUACCUCAAUGAAAACCUGGACACACUGGUCAAAGAACACGUGGUAUGCAUGCCAGCCUACUGUGCUUUUGGCCAGAUGUAAUUCAUUUCUAUCUAGACAUACCUGAUAACAUGUGGCGUUCAUGAGAAUGGGAUGGAAAUGGGGAUACAUUGACCUUGACCUAACCAAAUGAAAAAUUCCCCCAAUGCAAGUGGUGGUAGAACUUUCCCUUUGUAGGAAGUAAAUCCACUUGGUUGAGAGGAUAAAGGUGGAUGGGCCCUGGCACCUAUACGCCCCAGGGAUGACACCUCUCACCUAAACAACAAGGUGAGGACACAGACGCUUGACUGUUCUUAUGACCCAGCAGUUUUAAUUGUAUUGACAUAGAUUUUUGGAAGUGUUUAGCAAGAAAUGCCUUUCAGAUAAUGUCAGGUCAUGUUGAUUCUUGGUUGUGAUCAGUUGGUUACUACUGUGUUUGUUUGGGAAGCAUCAUAGGAUACAUGCUGUGGACUGUCUGCUUAUGAACUCCAGCGUCUUGAGAACAUCAUACAGAAGGAAGCCUUCUUGUCUUCUUUGAAGAUAUGUGAAGUAUGUGGACAUGUUCAUUGGAAUUCUAACAAGUAUAAGACUGAUCAGACGUUCUCCAUUUAACUCAGUCUUCCCCUCACACGUUUUGUGUCUCCACCCGACUCCUCUUGGUGUGUCUUCUUCUCUCCCCCCAGUUCUUUCACUGUUGUCCCCUACUGUCCUCUCCCUCUCUCCUUCUGUAUCUUAACUUCUGUCAUACUCACUUAUCUCAAUAGUAACUUCACGAAUACAUUGAGAAUGGGAUUUUAUAAAGGUGUCAAAUUAAGUCUUAAUGGGUUAUUUUAAUUUUUUUCUUCAAUGUAGUUUAGAAAGAUAAUGUAAUUUCUGUCUUCCACCAUAUGCAUACCUUGCUGUCUGUGGAGAGGAAAAUGGGAUAAUAGUUUUUCUCUUUCAAAAGGCAUCUGAGGAUCUAAGGCAGCCUGUAAAGCCAAAGUCAGAAGUCAAGAGGUAAGUCAUAAAGUAGUGUAGUAGGAAGCAUGAUUUGUUUCACGUGCAUUAUUCCAAUGAGGAGGGAGCGAGAGAGAGAGAGCUAGAAAGAGAGUGAGAGCUAGAGAGAGAGAGAGAGAGAGAGAAUCCCUAAAACAGCUUAGAAGAGAAAGGAGGUAAAUAGAAGUAGCAGAGGCUAUAGGAAAGGGUGAGGAUGUUGGAAAGGUUUGCCUCCUUCAGUCCAUUUUCCCAGCAUCAACAACCAGUUCCUGUUUGGGUCUUACAGCCACUGGCUCCGUAUUUAUAUCACUGAUCUCUGAACAAAAUCAGUGAGGGUUCUUGGUUCUGUAUUUUCAUAUCUCUGUGCAUUUUUAGUUUGUGUUUUAUUGACAGAUUUUUUUAUGGCAGGUCAAAGGCUUCAUUGGGAAAAGAGCAGUGUCCCUGGAAAUCCCUCCUUCUUAACGAAGCGCAGAACCUUACCCUCAGCAGAGAAUCAACCCAUAAACACGUGAGAACAAGAGUACUACUUCAAAAGAUUUGUCUCAGAUUUUAAUUGUUGUCACCUUGAUGGAAAAAAAUGGCACAGUUUGAAAGUUGGGGUGUGAAUAGUCAACACAAAAUGCAUCCUUAUGACUAUUUUUCCCCCCAGGCUUUUAGGUGGUGAUCAGAGGUCUUAAGGUCAUUGUUACCAUGAUCUUGCAUCCAUCUCAUUCUCAUGAACGCAUGUAUGCAGUGCUUUAUUUUCAAAUUAACACUCAGUUGGCCUAAGGAUGAGCUGCUUACAUUUUGGGAGUCCAGGUUAAGGUCACACAACUAAUUGUUCUGUUCUUUUUAUGUUUCAGGACAUUGAUUCCAGAGAGGCUGAGGCAGACAAUACAGAGAAGACAAUGGGCAUCUACACAGUCCAAGCAGAGGGUCAUGGUCCUGAUGGUCCAGGUGAUGGACGCUUUGCUGAUGUUGGUGUUGUGCUGGAAGGUGUGGAAGUUCUCCAUAGCCUGCAGAGUGUCAGCCAUGCAUGCGUGAUGCUUUAUGGACUGAUCUAUGCACUCAACUUGAGCUAUCCAAAAAACCUGAAGCGUACAUUCGAGGUGUACCAGAAAAUACUGAUGGACCUGGACUCAACCAAACUGUCACCAAAAGUGCAGACACUGAAACUCAAAUUGCUCGAGUGAUAUGGCUGACGGUAAUGCACUUACACAGCCCCUACAUAAUGUGUCUCAUGUUAUUUCCCAGUCAGACUGGAUCUUGUGCUGAAUUGAAUCCCUUAGUUCUUAAAGGGUGUGUCAGGAAAAUUCCUGUUUGAUUAUUGUGUGUCUGUAAAGUUGGGUUUUUCUUUUUGUCUCCAAGCCUUUAACAGGGAAAUGUAUCAGUGUGGCUUUGUAGGUGGGUUCAUAGAUGGGUAGUUUCUAAAGUGAGUUGGCUGGCAAUGUUGUUCCCAAAACUCAAACCAGAUUUUUUUGAAUUGUUUAUAAAUUCAGUAGACACUAGUUAAGUGUUCAAAAAGAUAUUUGUUCUAAAAAAGUGCUUCAGUUCAUACCAAAGCCAGUUUUUCUAAUAUUGAAUGGAAACUAUGGCCAUAGUUAAACAUAGGGACUUAUUUUGAAUGAAACCUGUCAAACGUAGUUAUGAUGGAAAAAUCACUUUAAGAUAAGGGGUAUAGCUUCAAUUGACGUUUUCGUUAUGUAUUUAAAUAAAAGCUUGACGUGUACAUUCAUAAUAAGGCCCUAUGUUGUAUUAUUACAACAUAGAAAACAAAGCAGCUAAACAAAACUGAACAGACUGAAAGACCACAAGUAGAGAGUAUGUGUGGUGUAGAUGGGCAGUUUAGCACUUUGCUCUGAUGAGCUGAAUUACCUGACAUUUUCUAGAUUUUUUUUUAACUUGUUAGUAUUUUUUUCCUCAUGUUUAAUUCAUUAGGUUAUUUCUACAGUUUAGUCACUCAUGUAGUACUCUGGAUGGAGAAAAAUAUGGAUGGGGGGCAAUGGAGAGGAGUGAGACGUAUUAGAAAGAUGGAAGUGUUUGAAUUUUUUUUUAUUAAUACAUGUACAAAGUGGACCACAAGGAUACGUUCUGUCCUUUUGAGUUUCAUGUCAUGGAUGUUGAGAGGCUUUAAUGCUAAUCAUUGUACAUCAUCAUUGUACUAAAUGAAAAAUAAUUAAAUAAAUAUGAUGCAUUUUGAAUGGUGUUGUUGAUUACAUAAGCAUAAAUGGCAUGUAAUUCAAAUAAAUAUAAGCUAUUUACCUGGCAUAGGUAACCUAAUUUUUAUGCAUUUCAAACAAUAUUAUUUAUGUAUUUG